Molecule: ribosomal RNA, 467 nt
Filed under: uncultured bacterium
Lineage: Bacteria
Description: partial 16S ribosomal RNA
Rfam family: Bacterial small subunit ribosomal RNA
Source: RNAcentral
GAUGAACGCUGGCGGCGUGCUUAACACAUGCAAGUCGGACGGAAAGGCCCAAGCUUGCUUGGGUACUCGAGUGGCGAACGGGUGAGUAACACGUGGGUGAUCUGCCCUGCACUUCGGGAUAAGCCUGGGAAACUGGGUCUAAUACCGGAUAGGACCACUUCUUGGAUGUUGUGGUGGAAAGUUUUUUCGGUGUGGGAUGAGCUCGCGGCCUAUCAGCUUGUUGGUGGGGUAAUGGCCUACCAAGGCGUCGACGGGUAGCCGGCCUGAGAGGGUGUACGGCCACAUUGGGACUGAGAUACGGCCCAGACUCCUACGGGAGGCAGCAGUGGGGAAUAUUGCACAAUGGGCGCAAGCCUGAUGCAGCGACGCCGCGUGGGGGAUGACGGCCUUCGGGUUGUAAACUCCUUUCGCUAGGGACGAAGCGUUUUGUGACGGUACCUGGAGAAGAAGCACCGGCUAACUACGUG